UACGUAGGGGGCAAGCGUUGUCCGGAUUUAUUGGGCGUAAAGAGCGUGUAGGCGGUUAGGUAGGUCCGUUGUGAAAACUCGAGGCUCAACCUCGAGACGCCGAUGGAAACCAUCUGACUAGAGUCCGGAAGAGGAGAGUGGAAUUCCUGGUGUAGCGGUGGAAUGCGUAGAGAUCCGGAAGAACACCGGUGGCGAAGGCGGUGAGCUGGGCAGUUGCUGACACUGAGGCGCGACAGCGUGGGGAGCAAACAGG
RNAcentral lists this ribosomal RNA (253 nucleotides) under uncultured bacterium. RNAcentral's name for it is "partial 16S ribosomal RNA". It matches the Rfam family "Bacterial small subunit ribosomal RNA", at positions 524 to 776 of the family's 1533-position model. The record is from RNAcentral.